GUGUGCCAGAGCGAAGAAUAACUGAUGGAUUGAAGAACGGCCAUAUUCAAACGGGUGUUGCACGGUGUCAGUAAAUGUCGGCAUAAAAGUGUAAUUAAAUUGUUGCCAGGAGCACAGUUAGUCAACAAAACUCUGGAAGACAUGAAAACAGCCUAACCAGCUCUGCUAGGGCAAGUAAAAUGGUCAGAGUUUGGGUGGGGGCUAAAGCUUAAGAUGUUUCUUAUGGCAUUGCACAGUCAGUGUGAACCAGAGUGACUUGACACAACAACGGGCCAACAUCAGUAGAAAACGCCUGACUCUCCACCAGUCAUACAAAGAGAACAGUCUAAUGCCUGCUGGUGGAAAGCCAUGGCUGGCAACGCCACCUGACUCCGUACCACAGAUCCAGCACUUCAGCUUCGAGGCUCUGGAGCCUGGUGGUGUUGUCGCCAAGGAGCAUUCAGACUGUCAGGACCAGGGUUCAGCUGCUGCGCAACACUGACAUCCUUCCUCCCAUAGAUGGUCUGCCUGUCCAAGCACCACCUGGACUGGGCACAGCUAGACAAACUUAUCUUUGAGAAGAUAAAGCAGUUUUGCAACAAAAAGACUAUGUACAUCACAUGCCCUGCACCAAAGUCAAGGGCAGGACAGAAACAGACUCUCCAAAUGCAACUAUUUUUUAUUCUACUGCUCAGACACUUUACCCCUGAUUGUAUGCAUAUUACUACCUCGUCUAUCACUGAUAUUGAUUACUUUAUUUACACUACCGUUCAAGUUUGGGGUCACUUAGAAAAGUCCUUGUUUUUGAAAAGGCCCCAAAAAAAAAAUUGUCCAUUAAAAUAACAUCAAAUUGAUCAGAAAUACAGUGUAGACAUUGUUGAUGACUAUUGUAGCUGUAAACGACAGACUUUUUAUGGAAUAGCAACACAGGUGUACAGAGGCCCAUUAUCAGCAACCAUCACUCCUGUGUUCCAAUGGCGCUUUGUGUUAGCUAAUCCAAGUUUAUCAU
Salmo salar (Atlantic salmon) is the source of this 988-nucleotide non-coding RNA. The record is from RefSeq and is a predicted model, not a curated record. Lineage: Eukaryota; Metazoa; Chordata; Actinopteri; Salmoniformes; Salmonidae.